CUACGGGAUGCAGCAGUGGGGAAUAUUGCACAAUGGGGGAAACCCUGAUGCAGCGACGCCGCGUGAAGGAAGAAGGCCUUCGGGUUGUAAACUUCUUUGAUUGGGGACGAAUAAAAUGACGGUACCCAAAGAACAAGCCACGGCUAACUACGUGCCAGCAGCCGCGGUAAUACGUAGGUGGCAAGCGUUGUCCGGAAUUACUGGGUGUAAAGGGCGUGUAGGCGGGUAUGCAAGUCAGAUGUGAAAUUCCACGGCUUAACUGUGGGCGUGCAUCUGAAACUGUAUAUCUUGAGUGCUGGAGAGGAAAGCGGAAUUCCUAGUGUAGCGGUGAAAUGCGUAGAUAUUAGGGGGAACACCAGUGGCGAAGGCGGCUUUCUGGACAGUAACUGACGCUGAGGCGCGAAAGCGUGGGGAGCAAACAGGAUUAGAUACCCGCGUAGUC
Molecule: ribosomal RNA, 442 nt
Filed under: uncultured bacterium
Lineage: Bacteria
Description: partial 16S ribosomal RNA
Rfam family: Bacterial small subunit ribosomal RNA
Source: RNAcentral